Long non-coding RNA from Juglans microcarpa x Juglans regia, 342 nucleotides. RefSeq lists it as uncharacterized. NCBI's taxonomy places the organism in Eukaryota, Viridiplantae, Streptophyta, Magnoliopsida, Fagales, Juglandaceae. The record is from RefSeq and is a predicted model, not a curated record. The transcript is spliced from 3 exons.
CCUCUGAAUCCAAACUACUCUCAGAGUCUAUCUUUCAUUCAUAAAAACAUAACCUAUCAUCCAUAAACGUAACAGUUCUAGUUAGGGAAGGUCCUAAGCGUCUGCCUCUCCCUCUGCAGUAGUGCCUUGCUCCACAGCCUUUUCGUCAUUACCUGGACGUUUAAAACAUUUAAAACAAAAUGAGUCGAAUACUCAGUAAGUAGUACACCAUGCAGUGAACAUACUAGGCAUAUAUUCUUUUCUUUUGAAAACAUGCAUACAUAAACAUUUUUGCUAAUUCUUGGCAAUGCUUUCAUAUAUAACAGUUUAAGAAAUAAGCCAUACUUUCAUGCAUAAACAUUU